This 253-nucleotide ribosomal RNA is filed under the name uncultured bacterium. RNAcentral's name for it is "partial 16S ribosomal RNA". It matches the Rfam family "Bacterial small subunit ribosomal RNA", at positions 524 to 776 of the family's 1533-position model. The record is from RNAcentral.
UACGGAGGGGGCUAGCGUUGUUCGGAAUUACUGGGCGUAAAGCGCACGUAGGCGGCUUUGUAAGUUAGAGGUGAAAGCCCAGGGCUUAACCCUGGAAUUGCCUUUAAGACUGCAUCGCUAGAAUCGUGGAGAGGUAAGUGGAAUUUCCGGUGUAGCGGUGAAAUGCGUAGAUAUCGGAAGGAACACCAGUGGCGAAAGCGGCUUCCUGGUCCGACACCGACGUUCAGGCACGAAAGCGUGGGGAGCAAACAGG